This 497-nucleotide ribosomal RNA is filed under the name uncultured bacterium. RNAcentral's name for it is "partial 16S ribosomal RNA". It matches the Rfam family "Bacterial small subunit ribosomal RNA", at positions 28 to 507 of the family's 1533-position model. The record is from RNAcentral.
GAUGAACGCUGGCGGCGUGCCUAAUACAUGCAAGUCGAGCGAACAGACGAGGAGCUUGCUCCUCUGACGUUAGCGGCGGACGGGUGAGUAACACGUGGAUAACCUACCUAUAAGACUGGGAUAACUUCGGGAAACCGGAGCUAAUACCGGAUAAUAUAUUGAACCGCAUGGUUCAAUAGUGAAAGACGGUUUUGCUGUCACUUAUAGAUGGAUCCGCGCCGCAUUAGCUAGUUGGUAAGGUAACGGCUUACCAAGGCAACGAUGCGUAGCCGACCUGAGAGGGUGAUCGGCCACACUGGAACUGAGACACGGUCCAGACUCCUACGAGAGGCAGCAGUAGGGAAUCUUCCGCAAUGGGCGAAAGCCUGACGGAGCAACGCCGCGUGAGUGAUGAAGGUCUUCGGAUCGUAAAACUCUGUUAUUAGGGAAGAACAAAUGUGUAAGUAAUUAUGCACGUCUUGACGGUACCUAAUCAGAAAGCCACGGCUAACUACGUG